GCAAGUCGAGGGGCAGCACUUCUUCGGAUGGUGGCGACCGGCGCACGGGUGCGUAACGCGUAUAGAACUUACCUUUUACAGAGGGAUAGCCUUUAGAAAUGAAGAUUAAUACCUCAUAGCAUUGAGAUUUGGCAUCAAAUUUUAAUUAAAGAUUUAUCGGUAAAAGAUGGCUAUGCGUCCUAUUAGCUAGAUGGUGAGGUAACGGCUCACCAUGGCAACGAUAGGUAGGGGUCCUGAGAGGGAAAUCCCCCACCCUGGUACUGAGACACGGACCAGACUCCUACGGGAGGCAGCAGUGAGGAAUAUUGGGCAAUGGAGGAAACUCUGACCCAGCCAUGCCGCGUGCAGGAAUAAGGCCCUAUGGAUUGUAAACUGCUUUUAUCCAGGAAGAAACACUCCGACGUGUCCGAGCUUGACGGUUCUGUAUGAAUAAGGACCCGGUUAACUCCGUGCCAGCAGCCGCGGUAAUACGGAGGGUCCGAGCGUUUUCCGGAAAUUAUUGGGUUUAAAGGGCCCCUAGGCGGAUGAUUAAGUCCAGGGGUGAAAAGUUUGCCGC
Molecule: ribosomal RNA, 556 nt
Filed under: uncultured Bacteroidota bacterium
Lineage: Bacteria; Pseudomonadati; Bacteroidota
Description: bacterial SSU rRNA
Rfam family: Bacterial small subunit ribosomal RNA
Source: RNAcentral